This 461-nucleotide long non-coding RNA is filed under the name Physcomitrium patens. RNAcentral describes it as "long non-coding RNA (PPAT_LNC012141)". The record is from RNAcentral. Lineage: Eukaryota; Viridiplantae; Streptophyta; Bryopsida; Funariales; Funariaceae.
UAGAGAAUUUAAUUUCAACUUAUUGGCCAAACUCUAAUAAGUUAUUUAACCUUUAAAGUAGAAGGCAGUUAAAUACUACAAUAUCAAAAAGAUAUCAUACUAGUAAAAUCUUUUAUAUUUAAGAAGGUUUGUACAUAAGAAUUUCUUAAAUAUUUAAGAAUUUCCUAAUAUUCUUGGUUAUAUCAAAACAUAACUAAUUAUUUGCUAGUAAGUUAGAUUUCUAAUAAUUCCAAAGAAAAUCCAUAAUCUCCUCUCAAAAAGAUAUAUUUAUAUCAAAAUUUAACCAUAGCUCUAUAUAUCCAUCUUCAAUAUAUAUAAAGUCUUGAUUUCUAAAAAAUCCCUUUACUUUGUAUAAAAUGCUCAAUUUAUAAUAAAACCCCUUCAAAACAUAUUUUUUCUGUAAACAUUUUCUUCUUUUUGAAUUUUAGAAAUUAAUAUCUCUCGAUCCAAGUAUUUAAUUU